RNAcentral lists this ribosomal RNA (1348 nucleotides) under uncultured bacterium. RNAcentral describes it as "bacterial SSU rRNA". It matches the Rfam family "Bacterial small subunit ribosomal RNA", at positions 40 to 1381 of the family's 1533-position model. The record is from RNAcentral.
CUACAGGCCUUAACACAUUGCAAGUCGAGGGGCAGCAAGGUCUUAGCUUGCUAAGGCCGAUGGCGACCGGCGCACGGGUGGGUAACACGUAUCCAACCUGCCGUCUACUCUUGGACAGCCUUCUGAAAGGAAGAUUAAUACAAGAUGGCAUCAUGAGUCCGCAUGUUCACAUGAUUAAAGGUAUUCCGGUAGACGAUGGGGAUGCGUUCCAUUAGAUAGUAGGCGGGGUAACGGCCCACCUAGUCUUCGAUGGAUAGGGGUUCUGAGAGGAAGGUCCCCCACAUUGGAACUGAGACACGGUCCAAACUCCUACGGGAGGCAGCAGUGAGGAAUAUUGGUCAAUGGGCGAGAGCCUGAACCAGCCAAGUAGCGUGAAGGAUGACUGCCCUAUGGGUUGUAAACUUCUUUUAUAAAGGAAUAAAGUCGGGUAUGGAUACCCGUUUGCAUGUACUUUAUGAAUAAGGAUCGGCUAACUCCGUGCCAGCAGCCGCGGUAAUACGGAGGAUCCGAGCGUUAUCCGGAUUUAUUGGGUUUAAAGGGAGCGUAGAUGGAUGUUUAAGUCAGUUGUGAAAGUUUGCGGCUCAACCGUAAAAUUGCAGUUGAUACUGGAUAUCUUGAGUGCAGUUGAGGCAGGCGGAAUUCGUGGUGUAGCGGUGAAAUGCUUAGAUAUCACGAAGAACUCCGAUUGCGAAGGCAGCCUGCUAAGCUGCAACUGACAUUGAGGCUCGAAAGUGUGGGUAUCAAACAGGAUUAGAUACCCUGGUAGUCCACACGGUAAACGAUGAAUACUCGCUGUUUGCGAUAUACUGCAAGCGGCCAAGCGAAAGCGUUAAGUAUUCCACCUGGGGAGUACGCCGGCAACGGUGAAACUCAAAGGAAUUGACGGGGGCCCGCGCAAGCGGAGGAACAUGUGGUUUAAUUCGAUGAUACGCGAGGAACCUUACCCGGGCUUAAAUUGCAGAUGAAUUACGGUGAAAGCCGUAAGCCGCAAGGCAUCUGUGAAGGUGCUGCAUGGUUGUCGUCAGCUCGUGCCGUGAGGUGUCGGCUUAAGUGCCAUAACGAGCGCAACCCUUGUUGUCAGUUACUAACAGGUUCCGCUGAGGACUCUGACAAGACUGCCAUCGUAAGAUGUGAGGAAGGUGGGGAUGACGUCAAAUCAGCACGGCCCUUACGUCCGGGGCUACACACGUGUUACAAUGGGGGGUACAGAGGGCCGCUACCACGCGAGUGGAUGCCAAUCCCCAAAACCUCUCUCAGUUCGGACUGGAGUCUGCAACCCGACUCCACGAAGCUGGAUUCGCUAGUAAUCGCGCAUCAGCCACGGCGCGGUGAAUACGUUCCCGGGCCU